CCUUCGGGGGGCAGCAGUGAGGAAUAUUGGUCAAUGGACGAGAGUCUGAACCAGCCAAGUAGCGUGAAGGAUGACUGCCCUAUGGGUUGUAAACUUCUUUUAUAAAGGAAUAAAACGAGGCACGUGUGCCGCUUUGCAUGUACUUUAUGAAUAAGGAUCGGCUAACUCCGUGCCAGCAGCCGCGGUAAUACGGAGGAUCCGGGCGUUAUCCGGAUUUAUUGGGUUUAAAGGGAGCGUAGGUGGGUUGUUAAGUCUGUUGUGAAAGUUUGCGGCUCAACCGUAGCAUUGCAAUUGAAACUGGCAGGCUUGAGUACGGGUGAGGUAGGCGGAAUUCGUGGUGUAGCGGUGAAAUGCUUAGAUAUGACGAAGAACCCCGAUUGCGAAGGCAGCUUGCUACACUGUGACUGACAUUGAUGCUCGAAAGUGUGGGUAUCAAACAGGAUUAGAUACCCCUGUAGUC
RNAcentral lists this ribosomal RNA (460 nucleotides) under uncultured bacterium. Its description in RNAcentral is "partial 16S ribosomal RNA". It matches the Rfam family "Bacterial small subunit ribosomal RNA", at positions 338 to 795 of the family's 1533-position model. The record is from RNAcentral.